This 259-nucleotide ribosomal RNA is filed under the name uncultured prokaryote. RNAcentral describes it as "partial 16S ribosomal RNA". It matches the Rfam family "Bacterial small subunit ribosomal RNA", at positions 524 to 782 of the family's 1533-position model. The record is from RNAcentral.
UACGUAGGUGGCAAGCGUUGUCCGGAAUCACUGGGCGUAAAGGGCGCGUAGGCGGUCAAUUAAGCCAGGUGUGAAAACUUCAGGCUUAACCUGGAGAUUGCAUCUGAAACUGGUAGACUUGAGUGCAGGAGAGGACAGUGGAAUUCCUAGUGUAGCGGUGAAAUGCGUAGAUAUUAGGAGGAACACCAGUGGCGAAGGCGGCUGUCUGGACUGUAACUGACGCUGAGGCGCGAAAGCGUGGGGAGCAAACAGGAUUAGA